AAAAGCGAAUAAUUGUGAGCUAAUGAGUAAAAUUUUCAAAGUCACGUACAUACGUUAGAUUUCCAUGAGCCCAAAUAGGGCCUCGUUAGCUCUUUAAAAUGCGGCUCAACAAGACAGUAUGUCAUUAAAUGUGAACAACAAUUAACGGUACAACAGGAAUACUUGAUUUUGGAUGGUUUUAUUGAAAUAAAGAUAAAACGACUAACGUUAGGAUUUUACAAAAUCACGGCAUCUCGUUGGAUUUGGACUGAACUUGACAGGGCCUAAUUGGCCCCUUGGAAACUUUAAAAAUUAAAGCCCAGAUAGGCAUUAAUUAAUUACUGUUAUUGUAUUUAGUUGAAUUGUGAACUAAUGAGUCGAAUUUUCAAAGUCACGUAUAUACGUUAGACUUCCAUGAGCCCAAAUAGGGCCUCAUUAACUCUCUGAAAUGUGACUCAACAAGACAGUAUGUCAUUAAAUGUGAACAACAAUUAACGGUACAACAUUGACCCCUUGGAAACUUUAAAAAUUAAAGCCCUGAAAGGCAUUAAUUAAUUACUGUUAUUUUAUUUAGUUGAUGACACACCCCAAGGCUUGAUCAACCUGGGCGGGGCCUUCCUUGGAAGAGGGUGUCUAGUGAUAAAUGGCCGAAACACCCAAUGAUUCCAAGGUCCACUACUGAUGAUGUGUCCUUAAAUAUUACCUUAAAAAAUUAAAAUACACAAUAAUGUCAAAUUAAGGAGACAAUAAAAAGAUAAUACAAUAAAAUAAAUAAAAAGAACACGUAACAAUAAAUAAUAAAGGAUUGAAAAGAACAUGGAUUCAGACUAAGAAGAGUAUUUAAACAAUAAGAUUAAGUGACACAAAAGUGGUUGCCCUGGAUACUGACCAAGUGCAUGAUGGGAACCAGGAAGUCAGACCAGGCAGAGCACAUGGAGCUCAGGGAGCAGAUGGCAGACAGGUCAGGCAGGGAGGAAGCCUCAUUUGAAGAACAAGGUACAAGUAAGUGGGAAUACAUGAUAACAAAUAUAGGAAACGUAUGAAGGAGAAGCAUCUAUGUGAUGAUAUUAAUACUUUAACUUUGUAGAAGC
Astatotilapia calliptera (eastern happy) is the source of this 1070-nucleotide long non-coding RNA. Lineage: Eukaryota; Metazoa; Chordata; Actinopteri; Cichliformes; Cichlidae. The record is from Ensembl.